Molecule: ribosomal RNA, 496 nt
Filed under: uncultured bacterium
Lineage: Bacteria
Description: partial 16S ribosomal RNA
Rfam family: Bacterial small subunit ribosomal RNA
Source: RNAcentral
GAUGAACGCUGGCGGCGUGCCUAAUACAUGCAAGUCGAGCGAACGGACGAGAAGCUUGCUUCUCUGAUGUUAGCGGCGGACGGGUGAGUAACACGUGGAUAACCUACCUAUAAGACUGGGAUAACUUCGGGAAACCGGAGCUAAUACCGGAUGAUAUUUUGAACCGCAUGGUUCAAAAGUGAAAGACGGUCUUGCUGUCACUUAUAGAUGGAUCCGCGCUGCAUUAGCUAGUUGGUAAGGUAACGGCUUACCAAGGCAACGAUGCAUAGCCGACCUGAGAGGGUGAUCGGCCACACUGGAACUGAGACACGGUCCAGACUCCUACGGGAGGCAGCAGUAGGGAAUCUUCCGCAGUGGGCGAAAGCCUGACGGAGCAACGCCGCGUGAGUGAUGAAGGUCUUCGGAUCGUAAAACGCUGUUAUUAGGGAAGAACAUAUGUGUAAGUAACUGUGCACAUCUUGACGGUACCUAAUCAGAAAGCCACGGCUAACUACGU